RNAcentral lists this non-coding RNA (45 nucleotides) under Trichobilharzia regenti. The record is from RNAcentral. Lineage: Eukaryota; Metazoa; Platyhelminthes; Trematoda; Strigeidida; Schistosomatidae.
AUGCAGAUGAAGAGUCCCAAAAAGGACGGAAUGUACAUCCUGGAU